GACGAACGCUGGCGGCGUGCUUAACACAUGCAAGUCGAACGCUGAAGCUCAGCUUGCUGGGUGGAUGAGUGGCGAACGGGUGAGUAACACGUGAGUAACCUGCCCUCUUCUUUGGGAUAACGCCCGGAAACGGGUGCUAAUACUGGAUAUUCACUGAUUCUCGCAUGGGGGUUGGUGGAAAGGUUUUUUCUGGUGGGGGAUGGGCUCGCGGCCUAUCAGCUUGUUGGUGGGGUGAUGGCCUACCAAGGCUUUGACGGGUAGCCGGCCUGAGAGGGUGACCGGUAACAUUGGGACGGAGGAACGCCCCAGACUACCACGGGGGGCAGAAGGGGGGAAUAUUGCACAAGGGGGGAAAGCCUGAUGCCGCGCCGCCCGGGGGGGGGUGGGGGCCUUGGGGUUUUAAACCUUUUUCGGUCAGGGUAAAGCCGCAGCUUGGGGUUGUGGUGGGGGUGGGGGGAAAAGAAGCGCCGGCUAACUCCGG
This 481-nucleotide ribosomal RNA is filed under the name uncultured bacterium. RNAcentral describes it as "partial 16S ribosomal RNA". It matches the Rfam family "Bacterial small subunit ribosomal RNA", at positions 28 to 506 of the family's 1533-position model. The record is from RNAcentral.